Non-coding RNA from Bdellovibrionales bacterium, 74 nucleotides. NCBI's taxonomy places the organism in Bacteria, Pseudomonadati, Bdellovibrionota, Bdellovibrionia, Bdellovibrionales. The record is from Rfam.
GUCUCCGUAGCUCAAUUGGAUAGAGCAACUGCCUUCUAAGCAGUAGGUUAGGUGUUCAAGUCACCUCGGAGACG